UACGAGUGCCCCAAGCGUUAUCCGGAAUCAUUGGGCGUAAAGGGUGUGUAGGCGGUUGUGUUAGUCUUUUGUUAAAUUCUUCGGCUUAACCGGGGGCAUGCGAAGGAAACGGCACAACUAGAGGAUGCGAGAGGUGAAUGGAACUCAUGGAGUAGGGGUGAAAUCCGUUGAUAUCAUGGGGAACACCAAAUGCGAAGGCAAUUCACUGGCGCACUCCUGACGCUGAGACACGAAAGCGUGGGGAGCGAACAGG
RNAcentral lists this ribosomal RNA (253 nucleotides) under uncultured bacterium. RNAcentral describes it as "partial 16S ribosomal RNA". It matches the Rfam family "Bacterial small subunit ribosomal RNA", at positions 524 to 776 of the family's 1533-position model. The record is from RNAcentral.